UACGAACCGUCCAAACGUUAUUCGGAUUCAUUGGGCUUAAAGGGUACGUAGGCGGCGCUUCAAGUCGGGUGUGAAAUCCCUCGGCUCAACCGAGGAACUGCGCCCGAUACUGGAGUGCUUGAGGGAGACAGAGGUAAGCGGAACUGAUGGUGGAGCGGUGAAAUGCGUUGAUAUCAUCAGGAACACCAGUGGCGAAAGCGGCUUACUGGGUCUCUUCUGACGCUGAGGUACGAAAGCUAGGGGAGCGAACGGGAUUAGAAACCCCCGUAGUCC
This 273-nucleotide ribosomal RNA is filed under the name uncultured bacterium. RNAcentral's name for it is "partial 16S ribosomal RNA". It matches the Rfam family "Bacterial small subunit ribosomal RNA", at positions 524 to 796 of the family's 1533-position model. The record is from RNAcentral.